This 114-nucleotide ribosomal RNA is filed under the name Labrus bergylta (ballan wrasse). The record is from RNAcentral. Lineage: Eukaryota; Metazoa; Chordata; Actinopteri; Labriformes; Labridae.
GCUUACGGCCAUACCACCCUGAACACGCCCGAUUCGUUCUCGGAAGCUAAGCAGGGUCGGGCCUGGUUAGUACUUGGAUGGGAGACCGCCUGGGAAUACCAGGUGCUGUAAGCU